AUGUCGUUGCAGGUCGCAUGCGUGCCGAGUCGAGCUGAAUGUGUGGUGUUGGACAAGAUGCAGUACGGUUGGUGUCACCGUGCAGCUCAUUGGCUAACAGCAUGCAGUUUGAUACAUCUGUUUUACAGUUCUUUUGCUAUGUCCUGUGGUAUCUGUGUCCUAUGUUGGGCCAAAGUGUGCAGGGCAAUAGGGCUUGCGUGGAGUUUGGGGGUAAGCACAUUGCAAAAAUUGCAGUGCGGUUUGGCGACAGUGGAAUUGCGGUGUGGUUCGGCGCCCGUCGAGGUGAAUUUCGUCCACGGGGACCUUGUGUUCUUUUUUUGUCAAAAAAAUUAUGCAUGA
RNAcentral lists this ribosomal RNA (339 nucleotides) under Triticum aestivum (bread wheat). RNAcentral describes it as "partial small subunit ribosomal RNA". The record is from RNAcentral. Lineage: Eukaryota; Viridiplantae; Streptophyta; Magnoliopsida; Poales; Poaceae.